This is a non-coding RNA of Heterocephalus glaber (naked mole-rat), 523 nucleotides long. Lineage: Eukaryota; Metazoa; Chordata; Mammalia; Rodentia; Bathyergidae. The record is from RefSeq and is a predicted model, not a curated record.
UUGAGACUGGUUGGAAGAAAGGACCCCUCCAGUGACGGUGACGGCCGAGAGCGCCGAUCUGACCCCGCGGAGGCCCUGCCCUCCGGUCGCCCGCGCCGAGUUUGCGAGGCCCGGAGAGGACGCGGCUCCCUUUUGUUCUGGGGUAGUCGAGUGUCUUCUCCGUCGCUGACACCGGCGAGCGGGCUUGGCCGUGUGAUUGAUUACGUGUGUUUUGCUUGUGGUCCUUGCCCGCCGGAAACUACGCGAGAUAGAAACAUCCGCGCCUUCUGAGGAUUGCAAUGCGUUUAAGUGUUUUUAGACGCUAAGCUAAUUUGGAGGGUCUGUAGAAGAAAUGUUGAUGCUUUGGUUAUCAGCGCAGCACUCUUUACACUUAGGGAGGGAAUAUCUUCAUUUUACAGCCCCAAACUAAUCGUGAAAUCAGACAAUUUCCCGUUUGGGGGCCUCCAGUAAUACACCUGCAAGUACUCUUCAAAGCAGUGGAGGACAGCAAAAACAAGGCAAAUCCAAGACUGUCAGAAUCCAG